RNAcentral lists this ribosomal RNA (395 nucleotides) under uncultured bacterium. RNAcentral's name for it is "partial 16S ribosomal RNA". It matches the Rfam family "Bacterial small subunit ribosomal RNA", at positions 523 to 918 of the family's 1533-position model. The record is from RNAcentral.
AUACGUAGGGUGCAAGCGUUAAUCGGAAUUACUGGGCGUAAAGCGUGCGCAGGCGGUUUUGUAAGACAGAGGUGCACUCCCCGGGCCCAACCUGGGAACUGCCUUUGUGACUGCAAGGCAAGAGUAAGCUAGAGGGGGGUGGAAUUUCGCGUGUAGCAGUGAAAUGCGUAGAUAUGCGGAGGAACACCGAUGGCGAAGGCAAUCCCCUGGGCCUGUACUGACGCUCAUGCACGAAAGCGUGGGGAGCAAACAGGAUUAGAUACCCUGGUAGUCCACGCCCUAAACGAUGUCAACUGGUUGUUGGGUCUUCAUUGACUCAGUAACGAAGCUAACGCGUGAAGUUGACCGCCUGGGGAGUACGGCCGCAAGGUUGAAACUCAAAUGAAUUGACGGGG